GCACUAACAUUUCUGCAACGUUUAGGCAACACUUGCUUACAGAUAGUCUACCUUCAAAGCCCCACACAGCUCUUUGUAGGUAGGCAAUCUGCCAGACUUGAAAGAAUGAUGCAUUACUACAAACGUUGAGGAAAUAAUCUUUCCAUAACCUAAAUGUAACAUUUCAAUAGUUCUGUUGACACAACGUUAGGCUCUUUAUCCUGUCUGUGUAGAGAUGUCAGACGUAACGUUAGGCUCUUUAUCCUGUCUGUGUAGAGAUGUCAGACGUAACGUUAGGCUCUUUAUCCUGUCUGUGUAGAGAUGUCAGACGUAACGUUAGGCUCUUUAUCCUGUCUGUGUAGAGAUGUCAGACGUAACGUUAGGCUCUUUAUCCUGUCUGUGUAGAGAUGUCAGACGUAACGUUAGGCUCUUUAUCCUGUCUGUGUAGAGAUGUCAGACGUAACGUUAGGCUCUUUAUCCUGUCUGUGUAGAGAUGUCAGACGUAACGUUAGGCUCUUUAUCCUGUCUGUGUAGAGAUGUCAGACGUAACGUUAGGCUCUUUAUCCUGUCUGUGUAGAGAUGUCAGACGUAACGUUAGGCUCUUUAUCCUGUCUGUGUAGAGAUGUCAGACGUAACGUUAAGCUCUUUAUCCUGUCUGUGUAGAGAUGUCAGACGUAACGUUAAGCUCUUUGUCCUGUCUGUGUAGAGAUUUCAGACGUAACGUGAGGCUCUUUAUCCUGUCUGUGUAGAGAUGUCAGACGUAACGUUAUCAGAUGUAAUGCAAAGUGGAUGUAAGACAAACAAGUAGUAGUACAAACAAGAUUACUUUACCAGGAUUCGGCAACAGACGGCGGCCCGCAGGCCAAAACCGGUCGAAGGAGAUUGUAAAAAUCACCAGAAAUUCAGCCCCAGUAAAUCUGUUCCUCAUGUUUUCCCACGAAUAAAUAAAGAGACAUAGGUAAUGGUGCCUCGGUAAAGUCAAGGUUUGAAAUGAUUGUAUUUGAAAAAUACAAUCUCUUUUUGAGCUUAGCUGUGGUCAAUUUGCAGAUGAUUAGAAUUAUGUUCUGGCCCCCGGACCACAAAAAUCAUCUUUCAUCAUCUAGUUGCCAACCCCUGCCGUACAGUAUGGCUUUCAGGGGUAAAGGUUGAUUAUGAUAUAUGCAUUUAAAUAGUAUAUAUAUAUAUACUAUUUAAAUGCAUAUAUCAUGCAUAUAUCAUAUAUAUAUAUUAAUGACGAUUAGCAGAUCACAUUGAUUUCAUCCUAAUUAUAAUCAUUUUUAAUUUGAAAAGUACAUUUUUCUGUCUUUUUGUGCUGCCGUUGAAUUAAUUGAAUGAACUGAAUAUAAAAUAAUAAAAUGUAGACACGUUAUCUAUGAGUACACAGUGUUGUUCUGUACAUCUAUUACAGCACAGGUGUGUUGAGGUAGCAUAGUUCUGCUUUGAAUAACUUUGAAUAAUCCGAGAUUCAAAUGUUUGAUGCAAAUGGGUUUGGAGAACACAGCCUUGUUCUAAAAUGGGUUAAAUAGUUGUUUUACACACAAUAACCCAUAAUGACAUCACAAUACCCCAUAAUGACAUCACAAUACCCCAUAAUGACAUCACAAUACCCCAUAAUGACAAAUCAAAAAAAAUAUAUAUUUUAAAUUUUUUGCAAAUGUAUUCAAAAUAAAAAUACAGAAAUAGGGCCUCCCGGGUGGCGCAGUGGUUAAGGGCGCUGUGCUGCAGCUCCAUCUCUGGGUUCGCGCCCAGGCUCUGUCGUAACCGGCCGUGACCGGGCGGUCCAUGGGGCGACGCACAAUUGGCCUAGCGUCGUCCGGGUUAGGGAGGGGUUGGCCGGUAGGGAUAUCCUUGUCUCAUUGCGCACCAGCGACUCCUGUGGCAGGCCGGGCGCAGUGCACGCUAACCAAGGUUGCCAGGUGCACACAUUGGUGCGGCUGGCUUCCGGGUUGGAUGGAGCUGUGUUAAGAAGCAGUGCGGCUUGGUUGGGUUGUGUAUCGGAGGACGCAUGACUUUCAACCUUCGUCUCUCCCGAGCCCAUACGGGAGUUGUAGCGAUGAGACAAGAUAGUAGCUACUAAAAACAAUUGGAUACCACGAAAACAGAAAUAUAAAAAAAACUGAAAUAUAGCUUAUUUUACAUAAGUAUUCAGACCCUUUUCUAUGAGACUUAACAUUGACCUCAGGUGCAUCCUGUUUCCAUGGAUCCUCUUGAGAUGUUUCUACAACUUGAUUGGAGUCCACCUGUGUCAAUUGAUUGGACAUGAUUUGGGGAAGGGUACCAAAAACUGUCUGCAUCAUUGAAGGUCCCCAAAAACACACUGGCCUCCAUCAUUCUUAAAUAGAAGAAGUUUGGAACCAACAAGACUCUUCCGGCCAAACUGAGCAAUCGGGGGAAAAUGGCCUUGGUCAGCGAGGUGCCCAAGAACCCGAUGGUGAAAAUAUAUUUCGUCUGAGGAAAUAAAUCCAUAAGGACAACCUUCUCUGCAGUACAAUCAGGCCUUUAUGGUAGAGUGGCCAGACGGAAGCCACUCCCCAGUAAAAGGCACAUGACAGCCCGCUUGGAGUUUGACAAACGGAACCUAAAGACUCUCAGACCAUGAGAAACUAGAUUCUCUGGUCUGAUGAAACCAAGAUUGAACACUUUGGCCUGAAUGCCAAGCGUCACAUCUGAAGGAAACCUGGCACCAUCCCUACUGUGAAGCAUGGUGGUGGCAGCAUCAUGCUGUGGGGAUGUUUUUCAGCUGCAGGGACUGGGAGACUAGUCAGGAUCGAGGGAAAGAUGAACAGAGUAAAGUACAGGGAGAUCCUUGAUGAAAACCUAAGGCAGAGCAAUUAAGGCUUCAGACCAGGGUGAAAGUUCACCUUACAACAGGACAACGAACCUAAGCACACAGCCAAGAUAAUGCCGGAGUGGCUUUGGGACAAGUCUCUGAAUGUCCUUGAGUGGCCCAGCCAGAGCCCGGACUUGAACCCGAUCGAACAUCUCUGGAGAGACCUGAAAAUAUCUGUGCAAUGACACUGCCCAUCCAACCUGACAGAGAGGAUCUGCAGAGAAGAACGUGAGAAACUCCCCAAAUACAGGUGUGUCAAGCUUGAAGCGUCAUACCCAAGAAGACUCCAUGCUGUAAUCGCUGCAGAAGGUGCUUCAGCAAAGUACUGAGUAAAGGUACUGAAGACUUAUAUACAUGUCAUAUUUCAGGUUUUUAGCUUUUAUAAAUGAGCUAAAAUGUAAAAAAAAUAUAUGUUUUUUCCUUGUCAUAAUGGGGUAUUGUGAUGUCAUAAUGGGGUAUUGUGAUGUCAUAAUGGGGUAUUGUGAUGUCAUAAUGGGGUAUUGUGUGUAGAUUGAUGAGGCAAAGAACUGUAACUGUAACGUUGGAAAAGUAAAGGGGUCUGAAUAGUUUGGAAAGGCUCUGAAUGCUGCUGCUAUUCUAUAGACAGAGUGUGUCAAGCUGUCCUGUGUGUGUUUCACUGUUUUCUGCUGUGUCAGUGCUGUGUGGAGGAGCAUGAGCAGCUGGCAAUUACAUGGUUAUGUCUCUCUCUCUCUCUCUCUCACUCACUCACAUUGAAUUCUCCACCCCCACACAGACUCUUUCCAUUCCUCUCUCCCCU
Oncorhynchus keta (chum salmon) is the source of this 3587-nucleotide long non-coding RNA. RefSeq lists it as uncharacterized. The transcript is spliced from 2 exons. The record is from RefSeq and is a predicted model, not a curated record. NCBI's taxonomy places the organism in Eukaryota, Metazoa, Chordata, Actinopteri, Salmoniformes, Salmonidae.